UCCUUGGUGGCUUGGAUGGUAAAGAAUCUGCCUGCAGUGCAGGAGGCCAGGGUUCAAUUCCUGGUUCGGGAA
Molecule: transfer RNA, 72 nt
Filed under: Ovis aries (sheep)
Lineage: Eukaryota; Metazoa; Chordata; Mammalia; Artiodactyla; Bovidae
Rfam family: tRNA
About the family: Transfer RNA (tRNA) molecules are approximately 80 nucleotides in length. Their secondary structure includes four short double-helical elements and three loops (D, anti-codon, and T loops). Further hydrogen bonds mediate the characteristic L-shaped molecular structure. tRNAs have two regions of fundamental functional importance: the anti-codon, which is responsible for specific mRNA codon recognition, and the 3' end, to which the tRNAs corresponding amino acid is attached (by aminoacyl-tRNA synthetases). tRNAs cope with the degeneracy of the genetic code in two manners: having more than one tRNA (with a specific anti-codon) for a particular amino acid; and 'wobble' base-pairing, i.e. permitting non-standard base-pairing at the 3rd anti-codon position.
Source: Rfam by way of RNAcentral